Molecule: microRNA precursor, 50 nt
Filed under: Hydra vulgaris (swiftwater hydra)
Lineage: Eukaryota; Metazoa; Cnidaria; Hydrozoa; Anthoathecata; Hydridae
Description: Hvu-Novel-7_pre stem-loop
Source: RNAcentral
AACAUCAGAGAUAUCAUUUGUUGUAUAACAACUGAUAUCUCUGUUGUACU